CAAAAAACCAAGUACUCAGUUUCAUAUUGAUUCAAGCAUUCUGACUUCUGCCAGUUAAAUACCAAAAUAAAUCUCUCUGAUCUUCCCGAGGACAAAAACCCAGAAAGAAAAUGAAAAGAAAAGGGCCCAGGAAAAGAGGAAAACAAGAAUGUCCAACAGCAAUCUAAAUAGAUAGAUGAUCAACAAUGAUGUAUACAGUAUAAUAAUGUUCAGUAGCAAUUGCUUUUUAAUUUCCUGGCUGAUAUAAACACCCUAAUCAUUUUCCUAUAUUCUUCUGUUUCCUUUCGUGUUUCAAUAAUACUUCAGUAGAUGUUCAUGACGAGCAGCAACAUCAUAUUUCUGGAAAGACAAACU
Molecule: long non-coding RNA, 354 nt
Filed under: Citrus sinensis (sweet orange)
Lineage: Eukaryota; Viridiplantae; Streptophyta; Magnoliopsida; Sapindales; Rutaceae
Description: long non-coding RNA (CSIN_LNC002961)
Source: RNAcentral